Molecule: long non-coding RNA, 471 nt
Organism: Gorilla gorilla gorilla (western lowland gorilla)
Lineage: Eukaryota; Metazoa; Chordata; Mammalia; Primates; Hominidae
Exons: 3
Source: RefSeq, a predicted model, not a curated record
UAAUACCUAAACAACAGGCCUUCUCUUUGCUGACUGUGGGCCUACCAUAGGAACAACUAUCUCUGAUGUUGCUCCACCUAUUUCCUGACUUCUGUCUCAGUCUCUUCCUAUGUUUUCAAGGAGCAAGACUAGCAUCACAAGCGUGAGUUUUGGAGUCAAAGGGACAGGAUCUUAUUAUGUUGCCCAAGCUGCUCUUGAACUCCCAGGCAAGCAGUCCUCCCAACUCGGCCUCCCAAAGUGCUGGGAUUACAGGUCAGAAGUUGUCCUGUCUGAGGACAAGAGCUGCACCAGAUGACUUCUCAAGAUCCCUUUGACCCUUAUGAUUGUCUACUGGCAUAAAUAUAAUGGUUUUUUCAGUUUCCUAUUUGAACUGAAUUUCCUUAUAACCAUUUCUGAUUAGCAUAUCGAUCACAAAAGUACCACUGUAAAGGAUAGAACAUGAGUCAUUAUUUUUACUUUCUUUUGCCCCGA